GACGAACGCUAGCGGCGUGCUUAACACAUGCAAGUCGAGCGGUAAGGCCCUUCGGGGUACACGAGCGGCGAACGGGUGAGUAACACGUGGGUGAUCUGCCUUGCACUUCGGGAUAAGCCUGGGAAACUGGGUCUAAUACCGGAUABGACCUYSSNNUGCAUGYUSKKKGGUGGAAAGAUUUAUCGGUGCGAGAUGGGCCCGCGGCCUAUCAGCUUGUUGGUGAGGUAACGGCUCACCAAGGCGACGACGGGUAGCCGACCUGAGAGGGUGACCGGCCACACUGGGACUGAGACACGGCCCAGACUCCUACGGGAGGCAGCAGUGGGGAAUAUUGCACAAUGGGCGAAAGCCUGAUGCAGCGACGCCGCGUGCGGGAUGACGGCCUUCGGGUUGUAAACCGCUUUUGACAGGGACGAAGCGCAAGUGACUGUACCUGUAGAAUAAGGACCGGCCAACUACGUG
This 462-nucleotide ribosomal RNA is filed under the name Nocardia coubleae. RNAcentral's name for it is "partial 16S ribosomal RNA". It matches the Rfam family "Bacterial small subunit ribosomal RNA", at positions 28 to 507 of the family's 1533-position model. Lineage: Bacteria; Bacillati; Actinomycetota; Actinomycetes; Mycobacteriales; Nocardiaceae. The record is from RNAcentral.